This 45-nucleotide non-coding RNA is filed under the name Schistosoma haematobium. The record is from RNAcentral. Lineage: Eukaryota; Metazoa; Platyhelminthes; Trematoda; Strigeidida; Schistosomatidae.
AUCAAGCUGACAAGUCUCAAAUAGGACGAAACGCGCGUCCUGGAU